Molecule: ribosomal RNA, 533 nt
Filed under: Salmonella enterica subsp. enterica serovar Enteritidis
Lineage: Bacteria; Pseudomonadati; Pseudomonadota; Gammaproteobacteria; Enterobacterales; Enterobacteriaceae
Description: partial 23S ribosomal RNA
Rfam family: Bacterial large subunit ribosomal RNA
Source: RNAcentral
CGGAGGGAAACCGAGUCUUAAUUGGGCGUUAAGUUGCAGGGUAUAGACCCGAAACCCGGUGAUCUAGCCAUGGGCAGGUUGAAGGUUGGGUAACACUAACUGGAGGACCGAACCGACUAAUGUUGAAAAAUUAGCGGAUGACCUGUGGCUGGGGGUGAAAGGCCAAUCAAACCGGGAGAUAGCUGGUUCUCCCCGAAAGCUAUUUAGGUAGCGCCUCGUGAAUUCAUCUCCGGGGGUAGAGCACUGUUUCGGCUAGGGGGCCAUCCCGGCUUACCAACCCGAUGCAAACUGCGAAUACCGGAGAAUGUUAUCACGGGAGACACACGGCGGGUGCUAACGUCCGUCGUGAAGAGGGAAACAACCCAGACCGCCAGCUAAGGUCCCAAAGUCAUGGUUAAGUGGGAAACGAUGUGGGAAGGCCCAGACAGCCAGGAUGUUGGCUUAGAAGCAGCCAUCAUUUAAAGAAAGCGUAAUAGCUCACUGGUCGAGUCGGCCUGCGCGGAAGAUGUAACGGGGCUAAACCAUGCACCGAA